UACAGAGGUCUCAAGCGUUGUUCGGAUUCAUUGGGCGUAAAGGGUGCGUAGGUGGCGUGGUAAGUCAGGUGUGAAAUCUCGGAGCUCAACUCCGAAACUGCACUUGAUACUGCCAUGCUCGAGUACUGGAGAGGAGAUUGGAAUUUACGGUGUAGCAGUGAAAUGCGUAGAUAUCGUAAGGAAGACCAGUGGCGAAGGCGAAUCUCUGGACAGUUACUGACACUGAGGCACGAAGGCCAGGGGAGCAAACGGG
RNAcentral lists this ribosomal RNA (253 nucleotides) under uncultured bacterium. RNAcentral describes it as "partial 16S ribosomal RNA". It matches the Rfam family "Bacterial small subunit ribosomal RNA", at positions 524 to 776 of the family's 1533-position model. The record is from RNAcentral.